Molecule: transfer RNA, 67 nt
Filed under: Phyllidiella sp. Nanhai
Lineage: Eukaryota; Metazoa; Mollusca; Gastropoda; Nudibranchia; Phyllidiidae
Description: tRNA-Met
Source: RNAcentral
AAUUAGAUAAGCUAAACUUUAAGCUUUUGGGCUCAUAACCCAAUAAUGGAUUUAAGUCCUCUAAUUA